AUUCUACCUGGCAAGAACUUCAGUGGCUGUGCCUGUGGUGAGGGACUGUUUUCUGCUCUUAUCACAUCUGUGUUGACAUUCGUGGAACAAAUACUCAUUGAGAGCCUUUUAUGUCCCAAGCACUGUGCUGGGGAAUGCAGUUAGAAAAUAAUGAGUCCAACCAGACCUGGUUCCUGCCUUCAUGGAACUUACAUGUAGGAAAGACGGAAGCUGCAACUUAUCCAGCUCUGCAGGAGUGGUGUGAGGCCUUUGACGCUCAUCCUGACUCCUGACUGAUGAAUUAUUUGGUCGACUGAGGCAGAAUCACCUUUACUGGAGCAUAAUCUGUUGGAGGCAGCAUCUCCUGAAGUCUCCAUGAGUUGCUGGAAUGAAGAUGCAAGAGGAAAUUUGGAGAUGUUGCUUGAAAGUUUAAAGUAUUGGUGUUACCGAACCAUUAGAAUAUUACAUAUGGACAACGCCCAUCCAUUAGAAUAUUACGUAUGGACAACAUGGUGGAACAUUUCGAAUAAGGUUGAUUCUUCUAUGUCUUGGUUGGAAUAAAAGGAAGAUAUGUGCAUUACUAGAAGCAACGUACAACGAGAGAGCAAAGGAAAGUAGCUCAGACCCAAGGAAGAUCAAAUUAAGGAAACCAAAUAACCCCAUACCGCAAGCCAACAUGUUCAGAC
Molecule: long non-coding RNA, 665 nt
Filed under: Homo sapiens (human)
Lineage: Eukaryota; Metazoa; Chordata; Mammalia; Primates; Hominidae
Description: HSALNT0335980
Source: RNAcentral